CCGGAUGUCUCAGCCAGUAAAGAAUCUGCCUGCAACGCAGGAGACCUGGGUUCAAUUCCUGGGUCUGGA
RNAcentral lists this transfer RNA (69 nucleotides) under Bos taurus (domestic cattle). It matches the Rfam family "tRNA". From Rfam's summary of the family: Transfer RNA (tRNA) molecules are approximately 80 nucleotides in length. Lineage: Eukaryota; Metazoa; Chordata; Mammalia; Artiodactyla; Bovidae. The record is from Rfam by way of RNAcentral. RNAcentral also lists the same sequence under 5 other names.